UACGAAGGGGGCAAGCGUUGUUCGGAAUUACUGGGCGUAAAGGGCGCGCAGGCGGCCACAGAAGUCAGGCGUGAAAGCCCCGGGCUCAACCUGGGAAUAGCGUUUGAUACUCUGCGGCUAGAGUUCGGGAGAGGUGAGUGGAAUUCCCAGUGUAGAGGUGAAAUUCGUAGAUAUUGGGAAGAACACCGGUGGCGAAGGCGGCUCACUGGACCGAUACUGACGCUGAGGCGCGAAAGCGUGGGGAGCAAACAGG
RNAcentral lists this ribosomal RNA (253 nucleotides) under uncultured bacterium. RNAcentral's name for it is "partial 16S ribosomal RNA". It matches the Rfam family "Bacterial small subunit ribosomal RNA", at positions 524 to 776 of the family's 1533-position model. The record is from RNAcentral.